AUCCGGAGGGUGCGAGCGUUAAUCGGAAUUACUGGGCGUAAAGCGUACGUAGGCGGUUGGUUAAGUUAGAUGUGAAAGCCCCGGGCUUAACCUGGGAACUGCAUUUAAAACUGGCGAACUAGAGUUGAGUAGAGGGGAGUGGAAUUUCAGGUGUAGCGGUGAAAUGCGUAGAGGUCUGAAGGAACACCAGUGGCGAAGGCGACUCCCUGGACUCGAACUGACGCUGAGGUACGAAAGCGUGGGUAGCAAACGGGAUUAGAAACCCCAGUAGUCC
RNAcentral lists this ribosomal RNA (274 nucleotides) under uncultured bacterium. RNAcentral describes it as "partial 16S ribosomal RNA". It matches the Rfam family "Bacterial small subunit ribosomal RNA", at positions 523 to 796 of the family's 1533-position model. The record is from RNAcentral.